UUUUUUUUUUUUUUUAAGGGCCACACCCUUGACUUAUGGAGGUUCCCAGGCCAGGGGUUGAAUUGGAGCUAUAGCUGCUGGCGUGCGCAACAGCCACAGCAACGCAAGAUCCAAGCCGCGUCUUCAACCUGCACCACAGCUCACGGCAACACUAGAUCCUUAACCCACUGAGUGAGGCCAGGGAUCGAACCCUUGUCCUCAUGGAUACUAGUCGGGCUUGUUAACUGCUGAGCCAAGACAGAAGCUCAUGCAGUGGCAUUCUUGUUUCCACCUGUCCAAAGUAUUUUCUUUGUUUCCAACCUGAACCUCUGCACUCCACUUACUAACACUCUGGCGGGUGAGAUGGUACCCGAAAAUGAAUAGGCUGGAAGGAAAAGGGGAGGGAGAGAGAGAGAGAUGAGAAGGACCUGAGAGAGAAUUUUCAUUUUCUAAGACUUCAUGGUCUUAGAAGCAUUUGGAUGAAUAAGUCCUGCUGAAGAAUUAAAACAUUUGUACCAUCUUCUAAAAGCAGAGCACUAAAGCACUAACUUCAGUGCUGGGAAGGGUUAAAGACAACCAGCUGUCCCAAGUGGAAUUAGCAGAGAAUCGAUGGACCAUAGAUGCAGUCCCUAUCUUUAGGAGGCUCAUAAUGGAAGGGGAACGAGGAAUUCAUGUAUAUGUGUGUGUGUAUAUUUUUCUUUUCUUUGUCUGAGGAAGUUGGGGUCAUGUGAACGAGCAGAGGAAAAGGAGAAGUUUUGUGUGUGGCUAGACUUUGUUAUUCCACCUUACCCUAACUUCACCUUAAUCAAGGUUUCAGCCUCUCCCAAGGCUGUCUAGUUACACAUCUGAUCGAGAGCACAGCCUACGGGAAGGUCUAGUUAAAGUAGUUGUGGGAGUUCCCGUCAUGGCGCAUCGGAAACAAAUCUGACUAGGAACCAUGAGGUUGCGGGUUCAAUCCACGACCUCGCUCAGUGGGUUAAGGAUCUGGCGUUGCUGUGACCUGUGGUGAAGGUCGCAGACGUGGCUCGGAUCUGGUGUGGCUGUGGCGUAGGCUGGCAGCUAUAGCUCUGACUGGACCCCUAGCCUGGGAACCUCCAUAUGCCGAAGGUGUGGCCCUAAAAGGACAAAAGACAAAAAAAAAAAAAAAAAAGAAAGAAAGAAAUACUUGUGGAGGAAGAGGAGAAGGCUAGCUGCUCUAUGGCUUGGAAAAACAAAGAGAUCCUCAGUGACCAAAAACUUGUGGAUAAUAGUUAUUUCUAAAAGACACAGCAAUUGAUUUUACCCCACUCUUACCUUCUACUCUCAUCCAGCCUAUCAACAGUAAUCCCCACUUGAGUUGCCGUGGAGGCAUGGGUUCAAUCCCCAGCCCAGCUCAAUGGGUUAAAGGAUCCGGCAUUGCUGCCGCUGUGGUGUAGCUCAUAGCUUUGAUGUUCACUGAUUUGGAAACUUAGUUUGAUAAGGACACCAGAGUGAGGAGAGGAGGAGACUCCUCCAGCCUCAGAGUCAAAUACUUGCCAAAGAGAGAACCAGCCACUCAGGUACACCCUCGUCUUCCCAGUCUGAAGGCUGAGAAGGCAGAGAGAGGAAAAAGCUCCCAUGGGCCCAAAGGAACCCCCAGGUUGUUGCAGAAACCAAGAUACUCUAAACCCAGACUUAGACACAAGGGCAGACGGACAUUGAACUUGGAGCAGUACAGCUGGUAACCUAGAGGUGAUGGGUGUCGCCUAAUAGGAUGGGAGUGGCCGGGGUUGGGAGUAAGAGCUCAGCUCAGCCAACCCGAGUUCUGGAGUCUUGGGAAGUUAAUGGAAGGCAAGAUAAAGAGGGAGAAGGUUGGGAUUCUCUUGUGGCGCAGUGGGUUAAGGAUCCAGCGUUGUCCCUGCGGUGGCUUGGAUUGCUACUGUGGAACAGGUUCAGUCCUUGGCCCGGGAACUUCCACGUGCCAUGGAUGUGG
This 1930-nucleotide long non-coding RNA is filed under the name Sus scrofa (pig). RNAcentral's name for it is "lncRNA (ENSSSCG00015075912.1)". The record is from RNAcentral. Lineage: Eukaryota; Metazoa; Chordata; Mammalia; Artiodactyla; Suidae.